ACAAUUUAAAUUCCAAAAUCUCCGCAACAACCUAACAACAACAACAACACCACAACAACAACAACAACAACACAAUAACAACAAUACAACUAGCAAGGGGAGGACGGAAGGAACGCUCACGUUCAAGCAGAGCCUCCGGCAAUGACUCACGAGACCGGGGAAUCGGAAAAGCUCGAGAAGCUAGGAGAGUAUUGAGCUGAGCUUGCAUGCCAUGGUACAGAGCUUGCAUGCCAAUGUACUGAGCAUCUCUAAGCUUUUGUCUUUCCUUGGCCGCUUCUAGCUCGAACGUGAGCUUUGUCAAAGUUUCACGCAUAUCGGAGAGGCUCUGCCCAUCAAGUUGCUCGCCUUGCGAGUCUCCCGCAUACCAAAAUCUCCCUAUUCCUUGCAUUCCACUGGAAUUCCAUCUUCUCCACUCCACUGAUUUUCACCUUCCAUACCCAUUUGUGCCAUUUUUUCUUCUUCGGAUCAUUCAUUUCUCUCUUUCUCGGCAUGUUCCUUUCUUCUUUUUUUCCUUAUUUUUCUCUAUUCCGGCUACCUCACAGACAUGAUAUUUGCUUUAUGUUCUCCCUUUCUUCAUUUGUGAUUACAGAUUACGAGAUGCAAGAUUUGCUAACUUUUAUUCUCUAUGCAUGAAGAUUAUACUUCUGCGGAUUAAUUUAUGUGGGUAAGGAGCCUUAUGUACAAGGAGAAAAUGUUUAAUUUCCAAAGCCAGAACAAUUAGCAGGCCAAAUCAGGAGAAAGCGUUUUCAAAAUUUUCAAUUUUCAAGACUUGAGGAAUUCAGGCAGACAAGGGCGAUCCGUUGCAUGGACUCAGAACACUAAGAACAUCAUCGUGCUGACAGAUAUAUGCGACGUCGUACGAGAUAUGUACAAAUGUCCGCAGAGAGAAACCAAUUAUUUUAUCGCAACUGCAAGCUAAAAGAGCUGAAUCAAAAAAGAGGCUACAAUUGCAUCAUUCAAAUCAUGCACUAUCUUCUUCAAAAGUUGAUAGUCAAGCUGGAAAACGAAGUGUGCUUGCAAUUUCUGUCCUUCAUUCGUUUCUGAGGAAGGUCAGAAAAGUAAAUAUUUUCUUCCUUCUCAUAGACAUUCCUCUAUUAAAAAUCCAUAUAUAUUCACAUAAUGUCGUAUGUGUAUAUAUUUGAUGCAUAAAUUGAUGUACUAUCAUUGAACUUAUUUUUCUUUUAUCGUUUAAGAGGUCAUGCUUCUGCAGACGGUAAUGAUAUCCUUUAAAUUGCUCUAGUGUAAAUAAUGUUUGUCAUAGUAUCUUUUAUUUCAGUCUGUUAUCUCAU
This is a long non-coding RNA of Nicotiana attenuata, 1289 nucleotides long. RefSeq lists it as uncharacterized. The record is from RefSeq and is a predicted model, not a curated record. The transcript is spliced from 2 exons. Lineage: Eukaryota; Viridiplantae; Streptophyta; Magnoliopsida; Solanales; Solanaceae.